GGGAUUCGACUAAGCCAUGCAAGUCAGGUAGUAAUACCGGCGACAUGCUCAGUAACACGUCAAUAAUCUGCCCUUAGGUCACGGAUAACCUUGGGAAACUGAGGGUAAACCGCGAUAGGAGAGAUGCUCUGGAAUAUAGCUUUCUUUAAAGCUCGAGCCUAAGGAUGAGUUGGCGGCCGAUUAGGCUGUUGGCGGUGUAACGGACCACCAAACCUAUGAUCGGUAGGGGCCUUGAAAGAGGGAGCCCCGAGAAGGACACUGAAAUACUGGUCCUAGCCCUACGGGGUGCAGCAGGCGCGAAAAUUUUACAAUGCACGAAAGUGUGAUAAGGGGAUCCCAAGUGCUUGCACACUGUGCAGGCUUUUUUUUCCAGGGCAAGUACCUGGGAGAAUAAGUGGUGGGUAAGACUGGUGCCAGCCGCCGCGGUAACACCAGCGCCACGAGUGGCAGCCGUUUAUUUGGCCUAAAGCGUCCGUAGCUGGUAGUGUAAAUUCUUUGUGAAAUUGUCGAGCUUAACUUUACAACGUGCAGAGAACACUGCAUUACUUGAGACCGGGAGGAGUCAGAGGUAUUUCUGGGGGAGCGGUAAAAUGCUAUAAUCCCAGGAAGACCACCUGUGGCGAAGGCGUCUGACUAGAACGGAUCUGACAGUGAGGGACGAAAGCCAGGGGAGCAAACCGGAUUAGAUACCCGAGUAGUCCUGGCUGUAAACGCUGUGAGCUAGGUGUUGCCUAUUCUACAUGAAUGGGCAGUGUCGAAAUGAAGAUGUUAAGCUCACCGCCUGGGAAGUACAGUCGCAAGGCCGAAACUUAAAGGAAUUGGCGGGGGAGCACUACAAGGGGUGCGGCGUGCGGUUUAAUCUAACUCAACGCAGAACACCUUACUAGUAGCGACGGCAGGAUGAAGGUCAGUCUGAAGGGCUUACCUGACGAGCCGAGAGGUAGUGCAUGGCCGCCGUCAGCUCGUGCCGUGAGGUGUCCUCUUAAGUGAGGCAACGAGCGAGACCUGCAUCUGCAAUUGCUAACGGUUCCUUCGGGAAGACUGAGCACAUUGCAGGGACUGCUCCGGAAACGGAGAGGAAGGUGCAGGCUACGGUAGGUCUGUAUGCUCCGAAUCCACUAGGCUACACGCGCGCAACAAUGGUAGACACAAUGGGAUGCAACCCUGAAAAGGGAAGCUAAUCCUCUAAAAUCUAUCUUAGUCCAGAUUGAGGGUUGUAACUCACCCUCAUGACGUCGGAAUCCCUAGUAAUCAGAGUUUAUCAUACUCUGGUGAAUACGUCCCUGCUCCUUGCACACACUGCCCGUCAAACCAACCGAGCAGGGUUUAGAUGAGACUCAACUUACAUUGGUUGUUUCGAAUCUAAGCUCAGUGAGGUGGGUUAAGUCGUCACAAGGUC
RNAcentral lists this ribosomal RNA (1399 nucleotides) under metagenome. Its description in RNAcentral is "bacterial SSU rRNA". It matches the Rfam family "Archaeal small subunit ribosomal RNA". The record is from RNAcentral.